Molecule: ribosomal RNA, 497 nt
Filed under: uncultured bacterium
Lineage: Bacteria
Description: partial 16S ribosomal RNA
Rfam family: Bacterial small subunit ribosomal RNA
Source: RNAcentral
GAUGAACGCUGGCGGCGUGCCUAAUACAUGCAAGUCGAGCGAACAGACGAGGAGCUUGCUCCUCUGACGUUAGCGGCGGACGGGUGAGUAACACGUGGAUAACCUACCUAUAAGACUGGGAUAACUUCGGGAAACCGGCGCUAAUACCGGAUAAUAUAUUGAACCGCAUGGUUCAAUAGUGAAAGACGGUUUUGCUGUUACUUAUAGAUGGAUCCGCGCCGCAUUAGCUAGUUGGUAAGGUAACGGCUUACCAAGGCAACGAUGCGUAGCCGACCUGAGAGGGUGAUCGGCCACACUGGAACUGAGACACGGUCCAGACUCCUACGGGAGGCAGCAGUAGGGAAUCUUCCGCAAUGGGCGAAAGCCUGACGGAGCAACGCCGCGUGAGUGAUGAAGGUCUUCGGAUCGUAAAACUCUGUUAUUAGGGAAGAACAAAUGUGUAAGUAACUAUGCACGUCUUGACGGUACCUAAUCAGAAAGCCACGGCUAACUACGUG